GCGAAGAUGGCGGAAUUGGUAGACGCGAAAGCUUCUAAAGCUUUUAUUUAUACUAAAUGUGAUGAGUUCAAAUCUCUCUCUUCGUA
Molecule: transfer RNA, 86 nt
Filed under: Tetradesmus obliquus
Lineage: Eukaryota; Viridiplantae; Chlorophyta; Chlorophyceae; Sphaeropleales; Scenedesmaceae
Description: Scenedesmus obliquus tRNA
Rfam family: tRNA
About the family: Transfer RNA (tRNA) molecules are approximately 80 nucleotides in length. Their secondary structure includes four short double-helical elements and three loops (D, anti-codon, and T loops).
Source: Rfam by way of RNAcentral